GGGGCUGUCACGGUUUCGACGUGCUGGGAACAGGUACUGAGUGAUGCAGGCCGAGAGCGGGCUAACUCUCGUAAAUCAAUGGCUCAAAAAAGUAGAUGCGAACAACAUCGUUCCUUUCGCUCGCAAGACUGUGGCUGUUGCCUAAGUUUUGUAACACCUCUAACUAGACGGUUGAGCACUCGCUGUCCGACUCCGUUAAGGUCACCGAGUUUAACCCCAACGGAUGCGCUGUCCGGUCUUCUUCGGUUGGCCUGCUAGCAAAGACUUUAAUCGAGGCAUCCUACCGCUAGGGAUUAAGUAGUGGUCCCUGUCUCAAGGGUCAACGAGACUAAGCCUGUGAAUGAACAAGGUAUAACUACUUGGUGCGGACGAUGGGUUCGACUCCCUCCAGCUCCACUC
This is a non-coding RNA of Limnothrix sp. P13C2, 399 nucleotides long. It matches the Rfam family "transfer-messenger RNA". From Rfam's summary of the family: Bacterial tmRNA, also known as 10Sa RNA or SsrA, is named for its dual tRNA and mRNA-like properties. Its role is to liberate the mRNA from a stalled ribosome. Lineage: Bacteria; Bacillati; Cyanobacteriota; Cyanophyceae; Pseudanabaenales; Pseudanabaenaceae. The record is from Rfam.